This 494-nucleotide ribosomal RNA is filed under the name uncultured bacterium. RNAcentral describes it as "partial 16S ribosomal RNA". It matches the Rfam family "Bacterial small subunit ribosomal RNA", at positions 28 to 523 of the family's 1533-position model. The record is from RNAcentral.
GAUGAACGCUAGCGGCAGGCUUAACACAUGCAAGUCGAGGGGUAUAACACUUCGGUGUUAGAGACCGGCGCACGGGUGCGUAACGCGUAUGUAAUCUACCUUUUACAGAGGGAUAGCCCAGAGAAAUUUGGAUUAAUACCCCAUGGUAUUAUGGAUAGGCAUCUAUUUAUAAUUAAAGAUUUAUCGGUAAAAGAUGAGAAUGCGUCCCAUUAGCUAGUUGGUAUGGUAACGGCAUACCAAGGCGACGAUGGGUGGGGGUCCUGAGAGGGAGAUCCCCCACACUGGUACUGAGACACGGACCAGACUCCUACGGGAGGCAGCGGUGAGGAAUAUUGGACAAUGGGCGCAAGCCUGAUCCAGCCAUGCCGCGUGCAGGAUGACUGCCCUAUGGGUUGUAAACUGCUUUUGUACAGGAAGAAACCCUUCUACGAGUAGAAGAUUGACGGUACUGUAAGAAUAAGGAUCGGCUAACUCCGUGCCAGCAGCCGCGGUAA